RNAcentral lists this ribosomal RNA (250 nucleotides) under uncultured bacterium. Its description in RNAcentral is "partial 16S ribosomal RNA". It matches the Rfam family "Bacterial small subunit ribosomal RNA", at positions 524 to 773 of the family's 1533-position model. The record is from RNAcentral.
UACGAAGGGUGCAAACGUUAUUCGGAAUCACUGGGCGUAAAGGGUGCGUAGACGGCGUGUUAAGUUCGUUGUUAAAGGCUUCAGCCUAACUGGAGUAUUGCGAUGAAAACUGGCAUGCUAGAGGAUGAGAGAGAGAAGUGGAAUUCCCGGAGUAGCGGUAAAAUGCGUGGAUCUCGGGAGGAACACCAAUGGCGAAGGCAGCUUCUUGGCUCAUAUCUGACGUUGAGGCACGAAAGCGUGGGGAGCAAAC